CAACAAGUGAUAUCUCAGCUGCUCAUACCUACCACAAGUACUGACUGACUAAUGUGACCCCUCGCAGUCUCGUUCUCUCACUAACAGUGUCGCCCUCUAACUAACACAUAUAAUCACACAAUCUUAGUUUUACUCACACUUCUUCGCUCCCUCCAUUGCUUACACAUACAUACUCUGUCUUACGCCAUUUACUCCGUCAGGGCUGUUAAUGCCACAGUCCAUUGGGGAGGACACAGUCCAUUGGGGAGGACACCAGUGUCUACUCUACCAAUGUUUUGGAGAGACACAUACAUUCACUAACCUUCAUUAAAUAUUUAAAC
Molecule: long non-coding RNA, 320 nt
Filed under: Mytilus galloprovincialis (Mediterranean mussel)
Lineage: Eukaryota; Metazoa; Mollusca; Bivalvia; Mytilida; Mytilidae
Source: RNAcentral